This is an RNA transcript of Manis pentadactyla (Chinese pangolin), 5334 nucleotides long. RefSeq lists it as uncharacterized. Lineage: Eukaryota; Metazoa; Chordata; Mammalia; Pholidota; Manidae. The transcript is spliced from 8 exons. The record is from RefSeq and is a predicted model, not a curated record.
GUUUUGUGCACCCCAGUCAGACCACCAUGCUCAGAGGAGGGUGCGCGCGCCACCCUCCACAGGGAGACGUGCUCACGGAGAAACCUGCAUGCGCUCAGCAGGCCCGUGGAAGAACCCCGGCGGGCCGCGGGAAAACCCCGCGUGUUUCCCCGGUGGGUCUAGUGCUCUGAGCCAGGAGUGUUCCCGUAGGGAACCUUCAGACCCUCCGUUGAGAGGGCCGCAGCUGAACGCGGGGGCGCGGCGCGAACCUAGGGAGACAGCCCGCUCGCAGCUCCGAUGGCCUGUGGGACAGACCGGCUGCGAGGCAGCCACCCCGCGGGGCGUGCGCGGCCGAACGCUGGGUGCGGGCUGGGGGUGCCCAGUCCACCGGCGGCGGAAAGCAGGCGCAGCUCCGCGGCCCCGGGACCCUGAAGCCCAGUCCUUCCGGCCGCGGAUUCCCGCUUCGCCUCCUGCACCGCGUGCACGCGCGCCGCUCGCCCAGGGAGCGGGCUUCGGGCGCGCCGACCGGCUGCUUCAGCGGCUCCCAGAGUGCGCUGCGGCGGACCGCUGGGGCUGCGCACAAGCGCGCGGGGCGGGGCCAACGGCCGUGCGGUUAGAGCGGGACUUGCUUGCGGCUGCUCUGCCUGAAGGAGCUUCAGUCUGGUGAAGAAGACAGCUAAACAUGGCCACUACGAUCAGAACCCAGAAAAGGGGCACUUAAUCAGACCUGAGAGAAGAGGGUGGUGGAGGCUUCUUUCAAGGAUGGCACUGUGGAGGGGACCCUGAACAAUGAGCAUGAGCAAGGUCAGUGUGCAUCCACCUGCAGCAGAGGAAGCAUUCCGCUUGUGCCGCCCGCCGGUGUCUCCGCUCCGCUUCCGCCAAGGCCUCCCGCUGAAGCCGCCGUCGCUUGCCAAAGCCCUGCGCUGCCUGCCGGCGCCCUCCAACAACGACCGCCCGCGGCCUCCUCCCGCCGGCUCCAGGGGCCCCCCUCGCGAGGGACCCGGCACCCUCUUCCUCACGCAGGCCUGUGCUCCUCGCAGGGGCAGCUCAUGCGCAGCCACCGACCCCGGAGCCCGUCUCCCGCCUGUCCCCGCCAGCCGGUGCCUCCGGCUGACACCUGCCCUGGACGCCUGCUGCCACCACCGCCCUCCAGUUCCUUCUUCCCGCUGACGCUGACCUUCACUGACGCCCAGUGCUCCCCGCUGCCAGACGCCCUCAGACUCCUGCCGCCGCCAACAGAGGCCCUCUUGCCAGGGACCCGGCAGGCCUCGCCAACUUGCAGCAGCUUCAGCUCAUAGCUGACAAGUGCAGCAGAGUGGUCACUGCUGGAAGAGCCUGCGGACUCUUUAGAGGCUGUGCCCUGUGCCAAGCCUCUGGCUGAUGCUCUGUUCAGUUCCGUGAACACCUGAUGUGCUUUAUAAAGGGCUCUUUUGCUCCCUCAAGCUCAAGGAGUCCUUGUCAUUGCCACUCAGAGCCAUCACCUGGAUGAACACAUUCAAGGUCAUAUGUAUAAUUACUGACCUGCCCCUUCCAGGUUCCUUCCUGAGAGAAGGGGGCCAAACCAGGGUUCUGGGGAGCAAGCAGGGGCCUGGCCUGGAAGCAGGACCUGGCUGCUUUGCUUAGAAGCUGAGGUAUGAGCAGAAGGGCCUGGGGUGGCCUGGGCCACGGCCAGGGCAUGACUGGGCUGUGUCAUGGGAAGGGACCUGAGUGAGGUGUUUUCAAGACAUGGAUCAGGGGAUGCUCUGAGAGAGGUCCUGCAGGAGGGGGACUGGGCAGGUUCUUCCCUGCUCCACAGGUCCCGCCAGGUGCCCUGAUGGCCUCACUCCUGGCGUGGCCACCUCCCCUCCUCAGGUCUCAGUGGCAGUGUGGCUGUGGGCCCUGUUUCCCAGACAAGGCUGAGACUUAGGGGAGACCCUAGAUAUUGGAAACUGAGCCAACACCUUAAAAAAUUUGUGUAAGUUGUGUUUCUAGUGUUUUCCUCAUAGCAACCAGAGUGAAAAGUACAGAGGUGGAUGAACACAGAUGUACCUGCCCUGUAAUUAUGAGUGAAACAUUAGAAAUGGCUCAAGAGUUGACAGCCAGGACUGCUGGAAGGACCCAGUGCCGAGGCACCUGCCAGGCUUUGGCUCCAGGACAGCACAGUGGCAGGGUCCCCAUGAGGAGCACACCCCCUUUGUGUCCUGAAUGCAGAGGAGGAGGCUGGGCCGCUGCUUCUCCAGGCCUUUGACCUUCAGCUGCAGACCAGAGCCUUCCCUUCUGUGCCAUCCCCUGUGACUGACUCUAUGUCUUCAGGAAAGAGGAGAGUGACAGAGGAGACGAUGGAAGUGAGGAGCAGGCGCCCCUGGAUGCCUCACCUGUUCCUGGUGCUCCUGCUGCCACAUGUGCUGCUGAGCACAGGACAAUCCUCGUACAGCCCCUCAGGCUGGAGGAAUGUCUAUGAGGACACAGGCAGCCCAAGGAGGAGAAGAGGCUGCAACCCUGUGAGGCUGCCAUCGACAUGUAUAUCAUCCUCGACGUACAGGACAGUUCCUAGACUUGCAACAUCUACAGGAAAAAGGAUGGGCUGUGAACAGCUCCAAGGUUCAGAGACCUGGUUUGUCUGUGAAAUUCGUGGGGGUUGUCUGGUCUGAUAAAAUGAAAAUUGUUCCUGAAGCAGUCAUGGACAAGGUCCAGGCUUUCCACACCCCUAUCACUGUGGCAGUAUUGCAAGAGUUUUGGGGUCUUUUGGGCUACUGGAGAGUGUUUAUCCUGCACCUGGCACAAAUUCUGAAGCCCUUAUACUGGUUGGUAUGAAAGGGCGUCAGGUGGGACUGGGAUGAGACAUGUGCAGGUGCUUUUACUGCUGCCAUGUGGGCAUUCAAGGCUGUACUGGUCUUGAAUGUAAUGGACUCAAGGCCCUGUGAACUAGAUGUUCAUGUAACCAAAGAUGGUUAUGAACGGGGUCUUUGCAGCAGCUUAUACAGACACAGCAACCUUGGAUUCUGGUCACAACUAUGGAAAGGAACAGGUCCAGUACACCUUGAUAGACAGCUGGCUGGUGUGUACCAUGCCUUGCUGGCUGUGGAGCCCAUUGCUGGAACAGUUCCCACCAAGGUAAUAACCACCUAUCCCAUUGCAGGGAGGGUGUGAGACUGGACCCAAAGGCCACGGAGUGGCGUGGCACAGACACCUACACUGGCCAAAUAGGGUGCAUAUUUACUAGCCCCUUAAGUGGAGAACUCCAACACUCUUUGGGGCCAGUGACCUAUAACCAGUGGAAAACAGGAAGAACUUGCUUUUGAGCUAUUGGUAGUUGAGACUCCUUUAUCAGGACGGAAAAGCUCCUAUACCUGAAGAUGCAUGGUACACAGAUGGCUCUGGUCUUAAGACUGAGACAAUAUGGAUGGAGAGGGGAAGAGCAGUCAAUGGGGUGACUUGUGGACAGUAUGGCCCAUGAUCACCUAAGAGCCAUCCCCCAUAGUUGUCUGCACUGACAGCUGGGCUAUCGGCUUGAUCCUGUGGCUGCUGACAUGGUUGAUCACCAGCCCAUUUGGGUGCAAGACUUAUGGGUGUCUGGUCAGGCUAAGAUUGUUACUGUAUAUCAUGCGACUUGCUAUAUGCCUUUGGCAUCCCCAGGGAAUGAUGAAGCAGACACACUGGCCCAGGUGCAUUGGCUAGAAGGAAAGCCUGCCUCUGAUGUGGCCCAAUGGCUACACCAGCAUUGUUGCAUGCGGGGCAAAAGACAAUGUGGGCUUGUAGCCCGUCAGUGGGGCUUGCCUUUGACCUUUGAAGAAGUCAGCAGAGCCCAGUAGGAGUGCCUUGUGUGCUCUAAGAGGGACUUAUACCGAUUCCCACGGCAACAUGGGACAGUAGUAAGGGGGCCUAUAUCCCUUGUCAGGUGGCAAAUAGACUACAUUGGGCCUCUGCCCAUAUCAGAAGGAUAUCGGUAUGCCAUGACUUGUGUGGACACAGCUAUGAACAUUUGGUUGCUUAUCCUGCAUGUGCCGAUCAGCAAACCACCAAGAGGGGCCUAGAGCAUCUCUUUGCAGCCUAUGGCUGGCCUCAGGUGAUUGAGAGUGAUCAGGGCACCCACUUCACUGGACAUGUGUUACAACAAUGGGUGCAGCAAUUAGGAAUAAAGUGGAAAUUUCAUAUACCAUGUAAUCCUACUGGGGCAGGCAUGAUAUGGAUGUUGAAAUCUGGCCUGAAUUCGGACACCAAUAGUCUACAGGGCUGGUCAGCUCGCCUAUGGACAGUGCAGCGUUUGAAUAAGAAGCCAUGUAAAGGAGCUUUGAGCCCUGUGGAUUUGCUCACACACCUUGCUGCGUCUCCUACACAACUGUACAUCCAAGCCAAAGAAGAGUUAUUGAAGCCAGGAUAUGGCCAGCAGAGCCACACCCUGCUGCCAGCCCCUACUGCGUUAAGCCCUGCAGACACGGCUGAAUGGACGUGGCCCUAGACAUCUCAACACAUGGACCAGCGAUGGCUGGCUCUUCUGGCACCUUAGGGGAAACGCCUGGCAACUGUCCUUGUGUCUAUUCCUGGAGUAACAGCAGUGGCCCCCAAAGAUCAUAGUAGUGUACCCAAAACAUCCAGGAGGUAAGAGCAUCUUGCGGGGAAGUUUUGUUUUAUCUUUAUGGCCGGUGCAUGUACCUCCCGUAGCCCUUUAUAUUGACCCAUCUGUAACUCCCACAGGGAAGGGGGUGAAAGUCUGGUAUACUAGACCAGGACGAGAGCCCAUUCCUGCCACUUUCCUAUCAGAGGAACACUCUUGCUUGUAUCCUACCUGAUGGACAAGAUUUUCCUAUGCUGGUAUCAUUAAAACAUGUAUCUUAUCGCCCUUAAGGUUAUUUUCUCCUACAGACCUUGUGGCCUGCAUGCACCUCCCGGCUGCAGCUGCCGCAUGAUGAUUGCUGUGAACCCUCAGCUACUGCCUGCCUAUGGAAUGGACGAGCUAUGGACUUAAACUGCAUAAGACUUUGAACCUAGGUGAAUCUUCCAGCUUGAAGAUUGUCAUGAUUUUAUUGCUGUUGCUAUUGUAUGUCAGUCUGGUCACAAUGCUCCCGUUUUUUUGGCCAGGGACCAUUGCGGAAGAGGGGGAACGAGUAGAUUGUAAGGCAAGAUUUCUGGAGUGGUGGCCUAUAGGUAAAAUUAUAGUAUUUACAGAAUAUCUCCCCUGGCUUUAGUUCAUUUGCAUAUCCUCAGGGGUGGAGAGAAGUUUAUCUCCAUAUCAGUGGGUAAUUACCUUGGCAACCAAGGGUUUAUCUGAACCUGAGAGGUUAAGGUGAGGUUUUUGCUUGCUUGCUUCUGCCAGAGCAGGCAAGAGAGACUGCCCCAGACUGCAGUUUGUAAACAAUAAACAGAUUUUAAACUUUA